AGUAAGUGGGCCGUUUUGUAAUGGUUUUGGGAAGGAGGGAAAAAGAUGACCAGCCCAGUGAGGUUUCAUCUGAUGGAAAUCUUCCCCAGCAAGCCGCGUCAGCCCCAAGCCGUGUGGCUGCAGUAGGUCCCUAUAUCCAGUCAUCUACUAUGCCUCGGAUGCCCUCAAGGCCUGAAUUGCUGGUGAAGCCAGCCCUGCCGGAUGGUUCCUUGGUCAUGCAGGCUUCAGAGGGGCCGAUGAAAAUACAGACACUGCCCAACAUGAGAUCUGGGGCUGCUUCACAAACUAAAGGCUCUAAAAUCCAUCCAGUUGGCCCUGAUUGGAGUCCUUCAAAUGCAGAUCUUUUCCCGAGCCAAGGCUCUGCUUCUGCACCUCAAAGCACUGGGAAUGCUCUGGAUCAAGUUGAUGAUGGAGAGGUUCCGCUGAGGGAGAAAGAGAAGAAAGUGCGUCCGUUCUCAAUGUUUGACGCAGUAGACCAGUCCACUGCCCCACCUUCCUUUGGUACUCUGAGGAAGAACCAGAGCAGUGAAGAU
This 533-nucleotide small RNA is filed under the name Pongo abelii (Sumatran orangutan). RNAcentral describes it as "processed transcript". The record is from RNAcentral. Lineage: Eukaryota; Metazoa; Chordata; Mammalia; Primates; Hominidae.